GCGACCAUAGCGUUGUGGACCCACCUGACUCCAUGCCGAACUCAGAAGUGAAACGCAAUAGCGCCGAUGGUAGUGUGGGGCUUCCCCAUGUGAGAGUAGGACAUCGCCAGGC
RNAcentral lists this ribosomal RNA (112 nucleotides) under Vibrio mediterranei. The record is from RNAcentral. Lineage: Bacteria; Pseudomonadati; Pseudomonadota; Gammaproteobacteria; Vibrionales; Vibrionaceae.